AAAGUGCUUCAGGCGCCACACAUGAAUGCCAUCCUCUUUGAGUGUAGUGCUGUCGACACCUGGAAAGCGGAGAUGGGAGGUGGGUGAGUUAGGGCAGGUGUGUUAAAACUUCUGUGUACCUGCUGCAAAUGACUUGAUUAUUGAGACAGCCAUGGCAGACAGCCUAGCUGGCAGUGAGGCAGUGAGGCAGCGAGGCAGCGAGGCGAUAAAUGCAUUGAAAGCUUCACAGCUACUUGGCUCUGAUGCUCACUCACACACCCACAGACACGUUCACGCACACACACACUUAACUCGUACUCACCUAGCAGGACGAGCAGCGGUAUGGUUGUCAUGCCGCCACGUUGCCAUUCUUCCAAGGACACUGUGCCAUCGGCAUCAUAGUCAAUUUCAACCAUCAUAUCUUGCAGUAUCUGUAAGAGUAACAAAAAGAGGAGAAGAGAAUCGUGUAAAAAUGGGCUGGAGGUGGAAUUUUCGUUGCUGUAUGACAUCCUGAUUGACAUUCUGCGGUGGAGUAAGGCAGAUAAAGGCAAUUUUACUUUGCGACUUUCGGCUUUUACCUUUGACUGCAACGGAGUUGGGGAUCGCGUAAUUCGAGCAAAAUGUAUACAGGAAAUAUAAUAAAUACUUGACGAAAUAUAAUAAAUACUGGCGACGUUUCUGCAAUAUAGUCGACUUGAAAAGCAAAGCAUGACAAGAAUAAUUUUGCUCUUCCUUACCACUUGAGCGCCCAAUAAGAGGAUUAUCAACUAACUGCUUUUUGCAUAAGGAUACUCAACAGAGCCAUAAAGGACAAAGGCAUCUCGCCUGAUAGUAAGAGGAUGAGCCAAUUGAAUUGACUUUGCUUAUAACUACGUAAAGACCAUCUAAACUUAGCAAUUGGCCAAUAAAACAACGUUGACUAACAUAACAGCAAGCUUCUGUCUGCUAAAGAAUACAUAUCACUUGGCGUAGCAGGCAGCUUUUUAGUGCUAACGCGAAUGGCGUUUUGUUUAUGUAAAAUGUAA
This is a long non-coding RNA of Drosophila navojoa, 1004 nucleotides long. Lineage: Eukaryota; Metazoa; Arthropoda; Insecta; Diptera; Drosophilidae. The record is from RefSeq and is a predicted model, not a curated record.